Wasmannia auropunctata (little fire ant) is the source of this 2811-nucleotide RNA transcript. RefSeq lists it as uncharacterized. The record is from RefSeq and is a predicted model, not a curated record. The transcript has 4 exons. NCBI's taxonomy places the organism in Eukaryota, Metazoa, Arthropoda, Insecta, Hymenoptera, Formicidae.
GUGUGUCGCAUGGUCGCACCAUAUACACUGCCAAUGCUGUUGCUAACUGCGUUCGCGACAUAUCUCUUCGUUCUGUACGUGGAAACUAUGUUUUUAUCGCUGAUGCGAUUCCAAGCUCGAUCUUUAUAAUUAGAAAGUCGAAAACCUUCGUGGUAAGUGUUUUUUAUCCCAACAAAAAGCGAUUAAGUCGAAGUACUAAGAACUUCAAAUUAUAUACGCUAUCGUGUUCCAAUAAGUGACAAAGCGGUUAUAAGUGAAAAUUUACGAAGACCCCCCGAGCAAUCCUAGCCUGACAUUCGCAUAUACGCGUUGUGACAAAGUUGAAGAAUUUCUCCAUUCUGCUGUCAUUUGUAUUGUUUGGUUCCCUGAUCGGUUUGGCAACCUGAUCGGUUGCUAUUUGUGGCUGUUAACUUGAACAUCGUUUUCAUUCAGUGUUUUUGAAUUUUUACUAAGGAGAUCAUGCCAAAAGAUGUCCCAUUUUAUAUGCUGUCCAAUAAGGCCAAAAGAAAGAGAAUUGAAGAUGAGGAAUGUAAUUCAACCGAUUCUUCAAUUGACAAUGCCAUCGACAGGCAUGAUAUCGAGCUACCUGAUUUUUCUAACUAUCAACAUUCAGAGGGUUUUCUAUGCAACAAUCCUGAACAUUCUGAACUUUCCGAACGAUCUGAACAUUCUGAACAUUCUGAGUUUUCUGAACAUUCAGAACUUUCUCAUUUUGAAUAUUGGAGUAAUAAUGAUUAUGAAGAUGAUAUUUUACAUGAAAAUAUCAAUCAUGAUGAACUUCCCCAAGAUCCGCAAUCGUUAUCUAAUUCUUCGAGCUCUUCCCAGUCUAGUGAAAAUUCAGUUUCCUCGAAAUUGAUGAUUCUAAAAUUUCUUCGUGGUUGGGCUUUAAAGCACAAUAUAACACAUGCAGCAAUUUCUGACUUGUUAACAGGUUUGAAAGAGAAUCACGAGUGUUUUGCCGAUGAAUCAGAACCCAGAUUCCCCAUAAGUGCGCGAACGUUACUUCAAACAGAAGUGAAAUUGAAAAAGAAAAUUGUCGAACCAGGAUAUUAUAUACAUAUAGGAUUGAAAAAACAAUUAUUAAAAAUUGCUCCUAAGUAUUUUAAAAAUGUAAUCACUUUUAAGUUAUUGGUAAACAUAGACGGAUUACCUCUAUUUAAAAGUUCGCCUGCUCAAGUAUAUCCCAUUUUAUGCAGUGUAGUAUCAAUACCUGAAUUGCGUAAGAAAGUUUUUCCCAUAGGCAUAUAUUAUGGCAAAGAGAAACCUUAUGAUAUAAAUAAGUAUUUGCAGGAUUUUAUUGAAGAAAUUAAUAAUCUUAUCGAGCAUGGCCUCCAUUUUGAGAAUUACACUGUAUUUUUAGAUGGUACUUAUUUUGUUUGUGACGCGCCAGCGAAGAGUUAUGUAAUGGGAACGGUAUCGCACACAGGUUUCAAUUCCUGUACUAGGUGCACUGUUCGUGGUGUCACCUCUGAUAAUCGACGAAUUUUCGUUGAUUUGGAAUGUCCAGCUCGCACUUGUGAGGAUUUUCUAGAAUGGAGAGAUGAUGAUUUUCGCCGUCGAGCCACUCCACUGACCAAUAUUAUAGGUUUAGAUUUUGUACAUCAUUUCAUUCUCGAUUAUUUACAUUUACAAUGUCUUGGUGUAAUGCGUACGAUGAUAUUGAAUAUGUGGUACAAGGGAUCAAUUCCUCAUAGACUUUCUGCUGCUCAGAUUGAAAUGCUGUCGAACCAUCUUGUUGAGCUUCAAUGUCACAUUCCUGCAGAAUUCGCAAGAAAGUGUAGAGAGCUGUUCAUUGUUUUACGGUGGAAAGGGACAGAAUUCAGAUUAUUUAUGCUAUAUGUAGGCCCAGUUGUACUAAAAAAUAUUCUAAGUAAACAAAAAUAUGUUCACUUUUUAGAAUUUCAUUGUGCGAUGAAAAUUUUAUUAAAUCCAAAUCUGUGCAAAAAACGGGAGCUUCGACAAUUUGCUAAAGAUAUUUUGAAACAUUUUGUUCAAUCGACUGAAAUUUUGUAUGAUAAAAAUUUUAUUACGCAUAAUUUUCACAAUAACAUACAUAUAGCUGACGAUGCAGACUAUUUUGCCGACAAAUUAGUUAACUUCAGUCUGGAUACAAUAUCUGCAUUUCCCUUCGAAAAUUACAUGCAAAGCAUAAAACGAAAAGUUAGAGCACGCAACAGGCCACUUGAGCAAAUUGGCCGAAGACUUGGAGAAAUCAUGUCAUUCGAGUCCGAAAAUCCAAUAGUAAGACCACAAGAUUAUGUAUUUCCUAAACUUUUUUCUCCGCAUAAUGCCGGUCCGGUGCUACCAGGUUGCAGGCGCCAGUAUCGUGGUGCUGCUUUUCCUCUAUUUAAAAUAACAAAUAAUGCUCCCGAUAAUUGCUGUGGUACUGACGACGGUGUAAUUAUUCAAGUUGCAAAUGUAGCUUUUUCUGAUCAUUUGCAGGUUCCAGUUGUAAUCGGUAGGGAAUUUGUUAGCAAACGUGACUUUUAUAAUGUACCUAUUGAAAGUUCUCGGGUAGGAAUAUUCAAAGUUAAGCAAUUGUCUAAUCUGAAGGCAUGGCCAUUGUCACAGAUUACUAUUAAAUAUGUUCAGUUGCCGUACAAAACUGCCUACAUUGUAUCAUCAAUUUUACAUUGUGACACGCUUUAAUUUCAUAAUAUCAUGUUCUGCAUUGUAAUAAUUUUUGUUUUCAUUAUCCUCUUUCUCAUCUUUCUUUUUCUUAUCAUUUCCUAUUUUUCAUCUUUAAGGCUCGAUAUAAUGUUCUAAGAUGUGUAUUCAUGAAAAUUAUGAGUGUUAGAACUUUCGAAUGAU